CUUAACACAUGCAAGUCGAACGGAAAGGCCCUGCUUUUGUGGGGUGCUCGAGUGGCGAACGGGUGAGUAACACGUGAGUAACCUGCCCUUGACUUUGGGAUAACUUCAGGAAACUGGGGCUAAUACCGGAUAGGAGCUCCUGCUGCAUGGUGGGGGUUGGAAAGUUUCGGCGGUUGGGGAUGGACUCGCGGCUUAUCAGCUUGUUGGUGGGGUAGUGGCUUACCAAGGCUUUGACGGGUAGCCGGCCUGAAAGGGUGACCGGCCACAUUGGGACUGAAAUACGGCCCAAACUCCUACGGGAGGCAGCAGUGGGGAAUAUUGCACAAUGGGCGGAAGCCUGAUGCAGCAACGCCGCGUGCGGGAUGACGGCCUUCGGGUUGUAAACCGCUUUCGCCUGUGACGAAGCGUGAGUGACGGUAAUGGGUAAAGAAGCACCGGCUAACUACGUGCCAGCAGCCGCGGUGAUACGUAGGGUGCGAGCGUUGUCCGGAUUUAUUGGGCGUAAAGGGCUCGUAGGUGGUUGAUCGCGUCGGAAGUGUAAUCUUGGGGCUUAACCCUGAGCGUGCUUUCGAUACGGGUUGACUUGAGGAAGGUAGGGGAGAAUGGAAUUCCUGGUGGAGCGGUGGAAUGCGCAGAUAUCAGGAGGAACACCAGUGGCGAAGGCGGUUCUCUGGGCCUUUCCUGACGCUGAGGAGCGAAAGCGUGGGGAGCGAACAGGCUUAGAUACCCUGGUAGUCCACGCUGUAAACGGUGGGUACUAGGUGUGGGGUCCAUUCCACGGGUUCCGUGCCGUAGCUAACGCUUUAAGUACCCCGCCUGGGGAGUACGGCCGCAAGGCUAAAACUCAAAGGAAUUGACGGGGCCCCGCACAAGCGGCGGAGCAUGCGGAUUAAUUCGAUGCAACGCGUAGAACCUUACCUGGGUUUGACAUGGAUCGGGAGUGCUCAGAGAUGGGUGUGCCUCUUUUGGGGUCGGUUCACAGGUGGUGCAUGGCUGUCGUCAGCUCGUGUCGUGAGAUGUUGGGUUAAGUCCCGCAACGAGCGCAACCCUUGUUCACUGUUGCCAGCACGUUAUGGUGGGGACUCAGUGGAGACCGCCGGGGUCAACUCGGAGGAAGGUGGGGAUGACGUCAAGUCAUCAUGCCCCUUAUGUCCAGGGCUUCACGCAUGCUGCAAUGGCUGGUACAGAGAGUGGCGAGCCUGUGAGGGUGAGCGAAUCUCGGAAAGCCGGUCUCAGUUCGGAUUGGGGUCUGCAACUCGACCUCAUGAAGUCGGAGUCGCUAGUAAUCGCAGAUCAGCAACGCUGCGGUGAAUACGUUCCCGGGGCUUGUACACACCGCCCGUCAAGUCAUGAAAGUUGGUAACACCCGAAGCCGGUGGCCUAACCGUUGUGGGGGAGCCGUCGAAGGUGGGACUGGUGAUUAGAACUAAAUC
RNAcentral lists this ribosomal RNA (1433 nucleotides) under uncultured organism. RNAcentral's name for it is "partial small subunit ribosomal RNA". It matches the Rfam family "Bacterial small subunit ribosomal RNA". The record is from RNAcentral.